CUAGCCGUAUUUGACCUAGCCGUAAUCACCAUUUCCGCCAUAUUCCCUUGUUCCGUCUUGCUUUACACCGAAGCCAUUGUUGUCGUCCACUGUCGGAGCACCGUCUAUCAUCAGAGAGGGAGUGUUUCUCAUUGGAGCCACCAUUAGUGCUUUCAUUGGAUCGCGGUUGACCGGAGAGGUCAUGACGUGUUGGAGAUCACCAACCCUUACCAUCGGCUAGCCAUGGCUGUAGCUCUCUUAUGGAUUCAAUCGUGAGAGAAGUGGAGAUGAGGCAACCCGAGCGAUGACGUUUGUCAUCUCUAGCCACCACCGGCUCCGAUCUAUACCGUCGUUAGCCAUGAGUCAUUUCAGAAACAAGGCAUGUCGUGCCAUGAUCACCGGAGAUCGUACCAGCCGUCGUCAUCAAUCGUGAUCCAAGCCGUAUUAGCUAAGUGUUGCCUUCUCUGUUACUUGUGAUACAAGUUACAUGUAUAUCAUAAACCUUCAUCGAGUUCUUACAUGUGUAUAGUUGAAUCUUGUGCCAACCUAGACUUGGAGUUGCUCGUGCAUCACUUAAAAUGAUGGCGUAUGAAGAUAUUAUUGGAGCACAUUUCAUUUAACACUAUUAUUAAUACGAAGACACCUUUUCUGAGUGUUGUUAGUGGAGACAUAUCCGCUCUUGAGCAAUUCAUGUUCUGUCUCUGAACUUUGGCUACGGUGAGAGUCUAUUCCGUAAAUCACGUACCAGUGUAGAAUUCUCUCUAUCGUAGUUUAGAUUUCGAAUCAUGAUCCAUCUGUUUGAAUUGAGUCUGUUUGAGUCUUGAUUGUUAGUCAGUUCAUUCAUUGUAAACUGGAACUAGGGGUCUAGAGGAUUCAACCGUUGAUUUGAUUGUGUGAUGUUAAGAGAUGCGAUAUAUAUAUAUAUAUGUAUGUAUACAUAGUUAUGAGUAGGGACUAUGUGAGAGGGCGGGGGUCCAGAGAUGUCUGGACUAGCGACGCAGCUUUGGUGGGCGGGGGCUCAGAGACGUCUGGGCUAGCGACGCAGAUUGUGUGGGGCAUGGGUGCAGAGACGUUUGCAUUCGACGCAGCUUUGGAGGGCGGGGGUACAGAGACAGACUGUACUAGCGACGCAGCGUAUGUAUAUAUAUCUCCGUAUGAGGAGAUGCGGGGUGUAUGGACUAGCUAUAUGCUAUCAUCGCAUUGUUUGUGUUGUGUGAUGCUUUAGGCAUCUUGUUUGUUCAUGUUAGAGCUAAACUUCCAUAGCGGGAGUUAUAUUUACUCAAGUCAGUGGUUUGCGUGUUUAGCAUCCCAUACCUCACAGAGUAACUCCCCUGUUACUCACCCCUCCUUUCCUUCCCCUUACAGAUGAGACUGGCGAGCAGGAGUGAUUGCUAUCGGGCUGGUGCUUUGGGAGUUUUAUUUCUGUCUUUUUCAGACUUGCAGAUUUUAUGUUUUUAUCGAUAUUUUCGGGAUUUAUUAUGUUAUUUGAAUUUAUGGAUAUUUAUUGGAUUUACGACUUUAGAGUUGACUUUUGAGAAGUAAUAAAUGGAGAUUUCAGACUUUUUAUUUAUUUAAGUUAUUUCGGA
Molecule: long non-coding RNA, 1565 nt
Filed under: Brassica napus (rape)
Lineage: Eukaryota; Viridiplantae; Streptophyta; Magnoliopsida; Brassicales; Brassicaceae
Description: long non-coding RNA (BNAP_LNC021965)
Source: RNAcentral